Molecule: transfer RNA, 73 nt
Filed under: Stegodyphus mimosarum
Lineage: Eukaryota; Metazoa; Arthropoda; Arachnida; Araneae; Eresidae
Rfam family: tRNA
About the family: Transfer RNA (tRNA) molecules are approximately 80 nucleotides in length.
Source: Rfam by way of RNAcentral
GCUUUCGUGGUGUGAUGGCCAGCACACUCGGCUCGUAUUCGAGAGAUUCAAAGUUCGAGUCCUGACGAAGGCA